RNAcentral lists this non-coding RNA (249 nucleotides) under Enterococcus devriesei. RNAcentral's name for it is "T-box sequence". It matches the Rfam family "T-box leader". From Rfam's summary of the family: Uncharged tRNA acts as the effector for transcription antitermination of genes in the T-box leader family. T-boxes are found upstream of many aminoacyl-tRNA synthetase genes and some amino acid biosynthetic genes usually in Gram-positive bacteria. The anticodon of a specific tRNA base pairs to a specifier sequence within the T-box motif, and the NCCA acceptor tail of the tRNA base pairs to a conserved bulge in the T-box antiterminator hairpin. The record is from RNAcentral. Lineage: Bacteria; Bacillati; Bacillota; Bacilli; Lactobacillales; Enterococcaceae.
GAAAAAUCAUAGAAGAGAAAAGUAUGAAUUGAUGACUUUUAACAGAGAGGCUUUGUUUGGUGGAAAAAGCUAAAGAAGUUAAUUCAGAAAAUGGCCUCUGAGAUGAUUCGUUGAGCUUAAUUGUAAAACGAAUUCGGGUACACCCGUUAUAGUGUCAGAGUAUGCAGUAUUUACUAAGUACUUGGUAAGACAGGUUUUUGUGAGAUUCCUGUGAAUAUAGAGGUGGUAACACGUUUGGUCGUCCUUUAA